Non-coding RNA from Schistosoma mattheei, 45 nucleotides. The record is from Rfam. NCBI's taxonomy places the organism in Eukaryota, Metazoa, Platyhelminthes, Trematoda, Strigeidida, Schistosomatidae.
AUGCAUCUGACGAGUCCCAAAUAGGACGAAACGCUCAUCUUGGAU